RNAcentral lists this transfer RNA (67 nucleotides) under Lycaon pictus (African hunting dog). Its description in RNAcentral is "tRNA-Val". It matches the Rfam family "tRNA". From Rfam's summary of the family: Transfer RNA (tRNA) molecules are approximately 80 nucleotides in length. Their secondary structure includes four short double-helical elements and three loops (D, anti-codon, and T loops). Further hydrogen bonds mediate the characteristic L-shaped molecular structure. tRNAs have two regions of fundamental functional importance: the anti-codon, which is responsible for specific mRNA codon recognition, and the 3' end, to which the tRNAs corresponding amino acid is attached (by aminoacyl-tRNA synthetases). tRNAs cope with the degeneracy of the genetic code in two manners: having more than one tRNA (with a specific anti-codon) for a particular amino acid; and 'wobble' base-pairing, i.e. permitting non-standard base-pairing at the 3rd anti-codon position. Lineage: Eukaryota; Metazoa; Chordata; Mammalia; Carnivora; Canidae. The record is from RNAcentral.
CAAAGUGUAGCUUAACUAAAGCGUCUGGCUUACACCCAGAAGAUUUCACUGCCCGUGGCCACUUUGA